RNAcentral lists this ribosomal RNA (783 nucleotides) under uncultured cyanobacterium. RNAcentral describes it as "bacterial SSU rRNA". It matches the Rfam family "Bacterial small subunit ribosomal RNA", at positions 9 to 836 of the family's 1533-position model. Lineage: Bacteria; Bacillati; Cyanobacteriota. The record is from RNAcentral.
GAGUUUGAUCAUGGCUCAGGAUGAACGCUGGCGGUAUGCCUAACACAUGCAAGUCGAACGGAAUCUUCGGAUUUAGUGGCGGACGGGUGAGUAACGCGUGAGAAUCUGCCUUCAGGAUGGGGACAACAAUUGGAAACGAUUGCUAAUACCCGAUAUGACGAAAGUUGAAAGAUUUAUCGCCUGGAGAUGAGCUCGCGUCAGAUUAGCUAGAUGGUGUGGUAACGGCGCACCAUGGCGACGAUCUGUAGCUGGUCUGAGAGGAUGAGCAGCCACACUGGGACUGAGACACGGCCCAGACUCCUACGGGAGGCAGCAGUGGGGAAUUUUCCGCAAUGGGCGCAAGCCUGACGGAGCAAUACCGCGUGAGGGAGGAAGGCUCUUGGGUCGUAAACCUCUUUUCUCAGGGAAGAACAAAAUGACGGUACCUGAGGAAUCAGCAUCGGCUAACUCCGUGCCAGCAGCCGCGGUAAUACGGAGGAUGCAAGCGUUAUCCGGAAUGAUUGGGCGUAAAGCGUCCGUAGGUGGUUAUGUAAGUCUGUGGUUAAAGCGUGGGGCUCAACCCCAUAAGGGCCAUGGAAACUACACAACUAGAGUCAAGUAGGGGUAGAGGGAAUUCCCAGUGUAGCGGUGAAAUGCGUAGAGAUUGGGAAGAACACCGGUGGCGAAAGCGCUCUACUGGACUUAAACUGACACUGAGGGACGAAAGCUAGGGGAGCGAAAGGGAUUAGAUACCCCUGUAGUCCUAGCCGUAAACGAUGGAUACUAGGGGUUGCCCGUAUCGAC